GGAAAGGAAAAGGGGGCGGGGAAAAAAGUGGAGGAGGGGGAAAAAGGAUUUUUGAGUCACUGCAGAUCAAUAUAGAAUACACGCUUCACAGUCAGUUACAUAGUAAAAAUGUACCUAUUUUUUUCAUCAUACUCUUCGCAGAAUCACCAAGAGAGCAAAAACAGGGAGAGUAUUUACAGUCAGUUGGCACAAUCUAGAGCUUAACUCCCAUCACUAAAAAGAAACCGCGUUAGCUGUGGCCCCGGAGGAAGAUAAGAUUAAGUUAAUCAAAUAGCAGAAGAUUACAACUCAAGGAAUUAGUAAAAUGAUUUUUAAAAAAACUCACUUAAGUCUUUUGUAUUAUUAGACUUGAGGUGGAGGGAAUGGGGGUGUGUGGUCUCCUGGCUUCUCUGCAUCUCGGUUUUCUCCGCUGGAUCUCGGAGGUGAGGCUUUGAAAAGAGUCGCUCAUGGAAAUACAGUUAUUAGCAGAAAAGCUGCCGGUGAAAUCCGUGGGGAGAGAGACACCUGGUCCUUUUUCCUCCAAGCUAGUGGCAUCGCCUUCCUUGAAAAGCACACACUGCUCUUCCAGAAAUAUCUCUUUCCUCCCAUCAUGCCUGUGCUCAAAGGCAUUCGGUGCCACCAGGGACCAGAGGAGGACCAACCCCUCCAGCCACCAUUCGGUGCCUGCGCUGGCCACAAGCAGCCGUCUCAGCUGCAGCUUCCUCCUCUGCUCCGCACAGAGCUUCCCGUCUGUGGAUUUGCCCGAGUGGUUCUAAACGCACCUCUUAUUUUCCUUCCUCCCCAUCUUAGCUUCUGCCAUUCCUCUACCCUCCAACUAUACUUCCUGCCUGUACCGACUGCUUGGCGUAUCGGAGGUAUUGCUUUGCAAUAGUUGUGUGUGUGUUUUAUCUGCCACUAUGUAUUCGUUACCUAUUGCCACAAGAAUGCUGAGUAACAACCACAAAAUCUCCCUGGCAUGCGGCAUUAUUGCUGCGGAGGUCAGAGUCACGCGGCUAUGAGCCAAGGAAUGCAGGUGGCCCCUACAAGCUGGAAAAAGCCAAGAAGGGACGUUCAUCUAUAACUUCCACAAAGAACACAGCUCUGCUCAUACCUUUAUUUUAGCCUCAUAAGACCUAUUCGAGACUUCUGACAUCCAGAGCAGUAAGAUAAUAAAUUUGUGUUGUUUCAAGC
This 1170-nucleotide long non-coding RNA is filed under the name Equus caballus (horse). RNAcentral describes it as "lncRNA (ENSECAG00000047005.1)". The record is from RNAcentral. Lineage: Eukaryota; Metazoa; Chordata; Mammalia; Perissodactyla; Equidae.